Molecule: long non-coding RNA, 237 nt
Filed under: Capsicum annuum
Lineage: Eukaryota; Viridiplantae; Streptophyta; Magnoliopsida; Solanales; Solanaceae
Description: long non-coding RNA (CANN_LNC003241)
Source: RNAcentral
UUGCAGCUAAAUUAUCAGUCUCAUGUUUAAGCUACUCUUCCAAAUAGCCAAAUAAAAGUUCAACCGCCUCCAAACUAUCAUCACAUACCUCAUCCCACUAAUCAAAACCAAUAUAACCCUUCAUGUCUAAACUUCGAAAAAGAACCUCCUAGAAAAUUUACUUCAUUGGCUGAAAGUCGUACCCAACUCUUUUAAAGAUUGAUGAAAGUUGGUUAUUUACAGCCUAUUACACCAAAG